CUCUGUACUCCUACGGGAGGCAGCAGUGGGGAAUAUUGCACAAUGGGCGCAAGCCUGAUGCAGCCAUGCCGCGUGUGUGAAGAAGGCCUUCGGGUGUAAAGCACUUUCAGUCGUGAGGAAGGUGGUAGUGUUAAUAGCACUAUCAUUUGACGUUAGCGACAGAAGAAGCACCGGCUAACUCCGUGCCAGCAGCCGCGGUAAUACGGAGGGUGCGAGCGUUAAUCGGAAUUACUGGGCGUAAAGCGCAUGCAGGUGGUUUGUUAAGUCAGAUGUGAAAGCCCCGGGGCUCAACCUCGGAAUUGCAUUUGAAACUGGCAGACUAGAGUACUGUAGAGGGGGUAGAAUUUCAGGUGUAGCGGUGAAAUGCGUAGAGAUCUGAAGGAAUACCGGUGGCGAAGGCGGCCCCCUGGACAGAUACUGACACUCAGAUGCGAAAGCGUGGGGAGCAAACAGGAUUAGAUACCCCUGGUAG
Molecule: ribosomal RNA, 472 nt
Filed under: uncultured bacterium
Lineage: Bacteria
Description: bacterial SSU rRNA
Rfam family: Bacterial small subunit ribosomal RNA
Source: RNAcentral